GAAGCACCAACUAGGCUUCCUUUUGAUCUUAACAGUGCCAAUUGAUUUACCUACCUGAAACUCUCCUGGUGGAGUCAUGUUCACUGUGGAGAUGAAGAGUAAUUGUUUCUAGAAUGCCUUGAACUCGGAUGUUUCUCAGAUGUGACAUUAAAUCACCUCAGGGAAGUUAAGCUGGAACGCUUUGGAGGAACCACGAUGCAACUUAUCAAGCUUUUGUUAGCCAUGUCCCAGUGUUG
Molecule: unclassified non-coding RNA, 236 nt
Filed under: Hevea brasiliensis (rubber tree)
Lineage: Eukaryota; Viridiplantae; Streptophyta; Magnoliopsida; Malpighiales; Euphorbiaceae
Source: RNAcentral